Mytilus californianus (California mussel) is the source of this 4148-nucleotide long non-coding RNA. RefSeq lists it as uncharacterized. NCBI's taxonomy places the organism in Eukaryota, Metazoa, Mollusca, Bivalvia, Mytilida, Mytilidae. The transcript is spliced from 2 exons. The record is from RefSeq and is a predicted model, not a curated record.
CUGAUUAUGGUGUUCUUUGGUGUAUCGCCACAAUAUAGCCUUUUAGUGCUGAUGCAGCAUAAAGUAAUCACCAAUCAAUGUUCUUUGAAGUAGCUCAUAACAGCUUUUAAUUUAAACCUUUAAGAACCAAGUGGUGUAUUGGGAACUGUAACCGUAUACGCUAGCUUGUUAAAAAUCUGAAUCAGCCACCCAGCCGUGUACGAAAUAUGGUAUUUUUGUAAAUAUGCAUAGAUUACUUUAUCCAGGAUACUUAUCUGCAAACAUUCAAUUAAUUCUGUUAUUCAUAUUAAAAAUAUUUUUUUUCUUUUUACAAACAAUCACAGUUUGACACAAUACUUUGCUUGCAUUUUAGGACUAGAAGUAAUGAGACAAAAUCACAAGAUAUAUUUGUUGAAGACAGUGUAGCUUAAUGUUUGGAAACUGUCCAAAAAGAUAGUCAACUGUAUGUUCUUUUAUCAUUCUGAAUAUCCUAGAAAUAUUUGCCACUGGAAGUUCAGUCAAAUAUCAUUAAUCCUUCUGAUCCGUAGAGAGCUGAAUGAAACAUUCAAAACAGACCUAUUGGUUGUACUACAUUUAUUCCAAAUAAAAUAAAUAAAAUGCUCCGCAGGGCGCAGCUUGAUACGACCGCAGAGGUCGAACCCUGAACAGUUGGGGCAAGUAUGGACACAACAUUCAAGCUUGAUACAGCUCUGAAUUUGGAUUGUGAUUAAAUAUUUGACACAGCAUAGGUUUCUGACACAGAAAGAAUGUGGUCUAAGAACUUCAAUUUUUUUAAUUUACCUAUUAUGGUCCAAUGCCCAAAAUCAAAAUACAUGGUUAGAUUCAGCAUAUCAAAGAAACCCCAUAUAUUCAAUUUUUGUUGAAAUCAAACAAAGUUUAAUUUUGGACCCCAACUUGGACAAACUUGAAAACUGGUCCCAUAAUCAAAAAUCUAAACACAUGUUUAGAUUCAGCAUAUCAAAGUACCCCAAGAAUUCAAUUUUUGUUAAAAUCAAACUAAGUUUAAUUUUGGACCCUUUGGACCUUAAUGUAGACCAAUUUAAAAAACGGGACCCAAAAUUAAAAAUCUAAAAACACGGUUAGAUUUGGCAUAUCAAAGAACCCCAAUAAUUCAAUUUUUGAUGAAAUCAAACAAAGUUUAAUUUUGGACCCUUUUGACCUCAAUAUGAACCAAUUUGAUAGCGGGCCCACAAAAUAAAAAAUCUAAAUACAUGGUAAGAUUCAGCAUAUCAAAGAACCCCAUAUAUUCAAUUUUUGUUGAAAUCAAACAAAGUUUAAUUUUGGACCCCGAUUUGGACCAACUUGAAAACUGGGCCCAUAAUCAAAAAUCUAAAUACAUGUUUAGAUUCAGCAUAUCAAAGAACCCUAAAAAUUCAAUUUUUGUUAAAAUCAAACAAAGUUUAAUUUUGGACCCUUUUGACCUUAAUGUAGACCAAUUUGAAAACGGAACCAAAAAUUAAGAAUCUAAAUACACGGUUAGAUUCGGCAUAUCAAAGAACCCCAAUAAUUCAAUUUUUGAUGAAAUCAAACAAAGUUUAAUUUUGGACCCUUUGAACCUCAAUGUGGACCAAUUAAAAAACGGGGCCCAAAAUCCAAAAACUUAAUACUUGGUUAGAUUCAGCAUAUUAAAGAACCCCAAGAAUUCAAGAAUAAAACCCCAUUGAAAUUGAUCAAGAAAUAAGAAAUUUAUACGAAGUAUCUUCUUUUGCACAAUACUGUGCAAUUGAAUAUUUCUUGCUAUUGUGCAAUACUGUACAAUUGACAAUUUCUUGCUAUUGCGCAUUAUUGUGCUAUUGGAUAUUUCUUGCUAUUGCGCAAUACUGUGCAAUUGAAGAUUUCUUGCUCUUGCGCAAUACUGUGCAAUUGAAGAUUUCUUGCAAUUGUGCAAUACUGUGCAAUUGAAAAUUUCUUGCUAUUGCACAAUACUUAUUAUAUAAUAAUUUACACAUCCUGUUUGGUGUGUAUCUCCUACCAUAUCAUUAUUAUUUGCUUUUAAAUAUUAAUCAGAAAUAACCAACUUAAAAUGGAAAAUUUUAAAAGAAAAAAAAAAAGGAAAAAAAGAAAAAAAAAGAAAAAAAAAAAUCCCCCCCCCAAAUUUUUGAACCCCCUUAUGAUUCAUCACCCCCAAACUCAAUCCCAGCCUUCCCUUUGUGGUAUGGUACCUUGCAGUACAAUUUCAGAGAGAUCCAUACACUUGAACACAAGUUAUUGUCUGGAAACUAGAAAAAUGCUUAUUUUUGGCCCCUUUUUGGCCCCCUAUUCCUAAACGUUUCGGGCAAUUAGCCACAAACUCAAUUCCAGCUUUCCCUUUGUGAUAUGGAACCUUGUAGUACAAUUUCAGAAAUAUCCAAACACUUACACACAAGUUAUUGUCAUGAAACUAGAAAAAUGCUUGUUUUUUGCCCCUUUUUUGGCCCCUAAUUCCUAAAAUUUUGAGGCAAUUACCCCAAAAAUCAAUUACAGCCUUCCCUUUGUGAUAUGGAACCUUGUGGUACAAUGUCAGAGAGAUCCAUACACUUACACACAAGUUAUUGUCUGGAAGUUACAAAAAUGCUUAUUUUUGGCCCCUUUUUGGCCCCUAAUUCCUUAACUGUUAGUACCAUAACCCCCAAAAUCAAUCCCAACCUUCCUUUCGUGGUAUUGAACCUUAUGGUAAAAUUUCAUGGAGAUCCAUUCACUUAAACUAAAGUUAGAGUGCGAAAACCAAUGUGUCUUCGGACGACGCCGGACGACGCCAGACGACGACGACGACGACGACGACGCCAACGUCAUACCAAUAUACGACCAAAAAAUUUUCAAUUUUUGCGGUCGUAUAAAAACGGGACCCAAAAUUAAAAAUCUAAAAACACAGUUAGAUUUGGCAUAUCAAAGACCCCCAAUAAUUCAAUUUUUGAUGAAAUCAAACAAAGUUUAAUUUUGGACCCUUUUGACCUCAAUAUGAACCAAUUUGAUAGCGGGGCCACAAAAUAAAAAAUCUAAAUACAUGGUAAGAUUCAGAAUAUCAAAGAACCCCAUAUAUUCAAUUUUUGUUGAAAUCAAACAAAGUUUAAUUUUGGACCCCAACUUGGACCAACUUGAAAACUGGUCCCAUAAUAAAAAAUCUAAACACAUGUUUAGAUUCAGCAUAUCAAAGAACCCCAAAAAUUCAAUUUUUGUUAAAAUCAAACUAAGUUAAAUUUUGGACCCUUUGGACCUUAAUGUAGACCAAUUUAAAAAACGGGACCCAAAUUUAAAAAUCUAAAUACACAGUUAGAUUUGGCAUAUCAAAGAACCCCAAUAAUUAAAUUUUUGAUGAAAUCAAACAAAGUUUAAUUUUGGACCCUUUUGACCUCAAUAUGAACCAAUUUGAUAGCGGGCCCACAAAUAAAAAAUCUAAAUACAUGGUAAGAUUCAGCAUAUCAAAGAACCCCAUAUAUUCAAUUUUUGUUGAAAUCAAACAAAGUUUAAUUUUGGACCCCAAUUUGGACCAACUUGAAAACUGGGCCAAAAAUCUAAAAUCUAAAUACAUGUUUAGAUUCAGCAUAUCAAAGAACCCCAUAUAUUCAAUUUUUGUUGAAAUCAAACAAAGUUUAAUUUUGGACCCCAACUUGGACCAACUUGAAAACUAAGCCCAUAAUCAAAAAUCUAAACACAUGUUUAGAUUCAGCAUAUCAAAGAACCCCAAGAAUUCAAUUUGUGUUAAAAUCAAACUAAGUUUAAUUUUGGAUCCUUAGGACCUUAAUUUAGACCAAUUUAAAAACGGGACCCAAAAUUAAAAAUCUAAAUACACGGUUAGAUUUGGCAUAUCAAAGAACCCCAAUAAUUCAAUUUUUGAUGAAAUCAAACAAAGUUUAAUUUUGGACCCUUUUGACCUCAAUAUGAACCAAUUUGAUAGCGGGUCCACGAAUAAAAAAUCUAAAUACAUGGUUAGAUUCAGCAUAUCAAAGAACCCCAAGAAUUCAAUUUUUGAUGAAAUCAAACAAAGUUUAAUUUUGGACCCUUUUGACCUCAAUGUGGACAAAGUUGAUAAAGGGGCCCAAAAAUCAAAAUACAUGGUUAGAUUCAGCAUAUCAAAGAACCCCAUAUAUUCAAUUUUUGUUGAAAUCAAACAAAGUUUAAUUUUGGACCCCAAUUUGGACCAACUUGAAAACUGGGCCAAAAAUCAAAAA